CCUACGGGUGGCAGCAGUGAGGAAUAUUGGUCAAUGGGCGUAAGCCUGAACCAGCCAAGUCGCGUGCGGGAUGAAGGUUCUAUGGAUCGUAAACCUCUUUUAUAAGGGAAUAAAGUGUGGGACGUGUCCUAUUUUGUAUGUACCUUAUGAAUAAGGAUCGGCUAACUCCGUGCCAGCAGCCGCGGUAAUACGGAGGAUCCGAGCGUUAUCCGGAUUUAUUGGGUUUAAAGGGUGCGUAGGCGGCCUUUUAAGUCAGCGGUGAAAGUCUGUGGCUCAACCAUAGAAUUGCCGUUGAAACUGGGGGGCUUGAGUAUGUGUGAGGCAGGCGGAAGGCGUGGUGUGGCGGUGAAAUGCUUAGAUAUCACGCAGAACCCCGAUUGCGAAGGCAGCAUGCCAAGCCAUGACUGACGCUGAGGCACGAAAGCGUGGGGAUCAAACAGGAUUAGAUACCCGAGUAGUC
Molecule: ribosomal RNA, 460 nt
Filed under: uncultured bacterium
Lineage: Bacteria
Description: partial 16S ribosomal RNA
Rfam family: Bacterial small subunit ribosomal RNA
Source: RNAcentral